GCCGAAGUGGCGGAAUUGGCAGACGCGCUAGGUUCAGGGUCUAGUGAGGGCAGCCUCGUAGGGGUUCAAGUCCCCUCUUCGGCA
RNAcentral lists this transfer RNA (84 nucleotides) under Thermodesulfobacteriota bacterium. RNAcentral's name for it is "tRNA-Leu". It matches the Rfam family "tRNA". From Rfam's summary of the family: Transfer RNA (tRNA) molecules are approximately 80 nucleotides in length. Their secondary structure includes four short double-helical elements and three loops (D, anti-codon, and T loops). The record is from RNAcentral. Lineage: Bacteria; Pseudomonadati; Thermodesulfobacteriota.